Molecule: ribosomal RNA, 456 nt
Filed under: uncultured bacterium
Lineage: Bacteria
Description: bacterial SSU rRNA
Rfam family: Bacterial small subunit ribosomal RNA
Source: RNAcentral
UACGGGAGGCAGCAGUGGGGAAUAUUGCACAAUGGGCGAAAGCCUGAUGCAGCUAUGCCGCGUGUAUGAAGAAGGCCUUAGGGUUGUAAAGUACUUUCAUCGGGGAGGAAAAACAAAACUAAUAAUUUUAUUUCUUGACGUUACCCGAAAAAGAAGCACCGGCUAACUCCGUGCCAGCAGCCGCGGUAAUACGGAGGGUGCUAGCGUUAAUCAGAAUUACUGGGCGUAAAAAGCACGUAGGUGGUUUUUUUAAGUCAGAUGUGAAAUCCCUGGGGCUUAACCUGGAACUGCAUUUUUGAAACUGAAAUACUAGAGUAUCGUAGAGGGAGGUAGAAUUCUAGGUGUAGCGGUGAAAUGCGUAGAUAUCUGGAGGAAUACCUGUGGCGAAAGCGGCCUCCUAAACGAAUACUGACACUGAGGUGCGAAAGCGUGGGGAGCAAACAGGGAUUAGAUACC